AACUUUCAACAACGGAUCUCUUGGCUCUGGCAUCGAUGAAGAACGCAGCGAAAUGCGAUAAGUAAUGUGAAUUGCAGAAUUCAGUGAAUCAUCGAAUCUUUGAACGCACAUUGCGCCCUCUGGUAUUCCGGGGGGCAUGCCUGUUCGAGCGUCAUUA
Molecule: ribosomal RNA, 157 nt
Filed under: Lobothallia pruinosa
Lineage: Eukaryota; Fungi; Ascomycota; Lecanoromycetes; Pertusariales; Megasporaceae
Description: 5.8S ribosomal RNA
Rfam family: 5.8S ribosomal RNA
About the family: 5.8S ribosomal RNA (5.8S rRNA) is a component of the large subunit of the eukaryotic ribosome. It is transcribed by RNA polymerase I as part of the 45S precursor that also contains 18S and 28S rRNA.
Source: RNAcentral